Molecule: long non-coding RNA, 283 nt
Filed under: Solanum tuberosum (potato)
Lineage: Eukaryota; Viridiplantae; Streptophyta; Magnoliopsida; Solanales; Solanaceae
Description: long non-coding RNA (STUB_LNC001044)
Source: RNAcentral
AUGUAACCUUUAUAAUGCUUCUUUUAGAGUGUUAGUUAGGCAUAUGUACCAGUCUACUUAGAUGGAUGAGAACUCUGAGGAAAACACUACAUUGGAAUGAAGAAGUUAACUGGACAGUGAUUCAUUCAAAGUAAAAAUGGUAAAACAGAAGUGUUUGGUAUAUAUAGAAACAACUAUGGAUUAUAUAUUCCAAUCAGGAAUUAUAAAGUGGUCAGGCAAGAGGAGCAAACAAGAAGCACUAUAAUCAAACAUAUAAUUUGAGAUAUCCUUUUACGAGUAGCAA